CCAUAAUUCGGGCAUUAACGGGCACAGGUAUGAGAGAUGGAGGGACCGUGUAGGAGGGACUUUGACAGGCCAUAGGCCGUAAAAUACUUGUCGCCCAGUGGUGUGAAAAGCAGAUUCUUUAACACUGGGGCUCACCCAGGAAAUCGGAACUGCUUCAACAGAUUCCGUUAGGCAGCACUCGGGGAACUACCCAAAUGGGGACUUACCCCUUGCCAGACUACUAGGGCUGGCAGUCCCACUUCCCAAGGGUAACAAUACCAACCUG
This is a non-coding RNA of Pelobates cultripes (western spadefoot toad), 265 nucleotides long. Lineage: Eukaryota; Metazoa; Chordata; Amphibia; Anura; Pelobatidae. The record is from the annotation of a GenBank genome assembly.